Molecule: unclassified non-coding RNA, 287 nt
Filed under: Hevea brasiliensis (rubber tree)
Lineage: Eukaryota; Viridiplantae; Streptophyta; Magnoliopsida; Malpighiales; Euphorbiaceae
Source: RNAcentral
GUCCACCAUUUUAAUAUUCACGAAGGUGAUCAAGAUCUAAAAGUUGGUUCAAUAAUUGGCUGGAAAUAUAAUCAUGAUGGAAAAGUUAAGGUUACUAAGCAAUUGAUUGAAGCCGUCGACGAUGAGAAGAAAUUAAUUACUUGGAAAGUGUUAGAGGGAGAUACGUUGGAAUUGUAUAAUUCCUUCGCUAUUACUGCCUCCUUUGAAGAGAAUUGGGCAACAUGGACACUAGUAUACGAGAAGAAAACUGAAGACACACCAGAACCUAUUACUCUCUUGAGUCUUAU